Non-coding RNA from Paramuricea clavata, 2582 nucleotides. Lineage: Eukaryota; Metazoa; Cnidaria; Anthozoa; Malacalcyonacea; Plexauridae. The record is from the annotation of a GenBank genome assembly.
UCUUGGCCGUGUCUCGUUUCCAGUGCCCUAAACAAGUGUAAUUUGACAAAUUUACAUGUAAACAUUAAGCUGUGAGAAAGUUAAAACGAUACCAAUCGAGUUUUAGAGCUUUGGUGACCAUUUUAAAAGAAUAUAUGAUAAAUUCAAAGGUAAGUCUAUCGUAUUGCAUUGUCUUAAAUGAAUUCUCAGCUAAAAUACGGCAAUAAAUGGAUCAUAAACUUAGCUAAAUUUACUGUUGACAACGAGGUUGACAGAUCCAUUGCUUUUUUGCCUUGAAUAGCUUUACCAUAGUUAUUUUACCUUAAAAUGUAGCUACUGAGGAUAUCUCUAAGAGAUUUACACAGAUUAUUUGCACAAUCUCACGAUUUAAUCAUGCUGAUAACAUGAAAAUCCUUGUGCCAUUCUAUACUUGGCAUAUUAAAUCUCUACAUCAAUAGUUCACUAAAGGAGCAUUCAUUUUUUAGCUGGGGGGGGGGGUGGGCCGGAGGAACUGAUGUCUAAUUCCAUGCGAAAACUUGGAACCCCCAAGACAAAAGUUGAUAUAAAAUUAUGACCCCCUAUUUUUUUACUGAAAAUUUUUUGACCCCUCAUCCUAACUAUUAAUCCACACGGUGUUGUUUCCAUAGCGUUUCAGGCCCGUAGGAAGCUCUUUUUGAUUGGGGGCUGAAAGCAAGGGCCAAAGGCCCGAGGAAAUUUUUAAAUCUAGAGUCUUUGAAAUGCCAUUUCCUGGCCUUUGGGGGAAGAUUUGACAGAAUUCUGAUGGUCAGAAAACAGCGUUUUAGUAUGUCGAAAUUGACAAUUUGGUAGUACUAAAUGGGCGAAGGCGUAUUUAAUUUACUAUAUAUUAGAUAACUAGGAUAAUUUGCAAGAAACUGUGGGUACUAUCUUCAUUCUUUGCAGUUUGUCAUGGAUAAUGUAGCCGCUUAAAAUUAAUAAAGCUUAAAAUUGAUCAAGGUCUGCAUGAUUUUGAAGUCAUGCAGACCUUGAAACCAUGCAUGAUUUUGAAAUCAUGCUACGGUCCUGCAUUUUCUUUCAUUCAUGUUUUCACACAAAAACGGAUAAAAACGAGGUCAAUUGACGAACGUCAUGGAAAUGUUUUCCUAUGGAAUGUGUGAACAGAGCAUCAAAUGAGUUUUGCUUCAUUGUUAUAGAUGACGAGAUAGUUGAUAGAUUCUAGACCUUUUUACCAUUCUUGAUCCAAAUAUUUCCAAAUUCUAUAAAAUUAUAUUGGUGAUUUUUUCACUGAUUUUUAUGACCCCCUCCAUUUAUACCAAAACUAUAAAAAGACCCACCCCUUUGAAGCAUGUCAAAAUUGGCUGACCCACCCCCAAAUUCCUCCUGCCCCCCCCCCAGCUAAAAAAUGAAUGCUCCCUAUAAAUUCAAUAUAUUUUUGAACCAGUCCAUAUAUUGUUAUACACAAUGUAGUAUAGUUAAUUUGACCAUUGAGAAGUAAGGGUGUAUUUCAUUACACAGACACUGCUGAAUUUUAGGUUACAUGCCAUUGGAUUGAUAUAUAAAAAACACUUGUAAAACACACCCAUCUUGUUGAUAGAAUAGUUAUUUGCAGUAUACUAACUGUUGGCAUACUCUAUUUCAGGACUAUCAAUUGUUUUUGUCACUGGCAGUCUUUGAAAUACAAUCUUGCUCUGUGGCCUUUACUGACAAGUUGGCUUUUACUACAUAUGUGGCACUGACACUUCUUUAAUUAAUGCACCAGUCAAUGUAAACCCCCCAACCGGGGAGGGGCAGGGAUUUUGACUUGGAGGGGUAGUAAAAGAGCGAAAUUAUCCCCACCCAUAACGAGCGAAAUUAUCAUAGAUCAGCAAUAGAAAAUCAAAUUCAUUUAUGUUGUUGUAUUUAAACUUUUCUUGUCAAGAAAACUAAAACAGCAACACAGGAUAUAUAUGUUAACCACUGUCCAAGUCUCCCAUCAUCGGGGACAAAUUUAUAAUCAAAACUGACUACUUUCCCUGCUAAACCUUCCGCCCCUCCCCGGUUGGGGGCAGGGAUUUACAUUGACUGGUGCAUAACUAGAUGAUUGCAUGAAGCAUUGCAUGGAAGUUGAUUUAUAAUUAGUUUAUGAAUAAACUCACACUUUCAUUAUAAUGGUUGAUCGAAUAUAUCAAAUGCAUUUGAUUGGUUGAUGGUCCCUUAAUGGUAAUCAAAUCUGAACCUAUAUAAUGUCAAUAUACUGGAAAAGUAUCAAAUUAAAUUUUAAUUGUCAAUGUUGUGGGAAGUAAAUAAAUCAAACAAUUCUGUUUGUUUCAACUAACUAGUUCACUAUCACUUUGGUUUUCAAAUCAAAGAAUCUUUAGCCUGGUUGAGCUUUUGAAAAAGUAGCUGCUUGAUUAAACGCAAGAUUAUUUUACUCUGUCUAACGCCAGACAAUUUCACUUGUCAAGGGGAAAGUGCUGCCACUCAGUGAACUCAAUCAGAGCUCAAUGAGCAGCAGCACUCUCCCUCGAUAAGUAAAAUCAUCUGGCAUUAGAUGAAGUGAAAUAAACUAGUAAAGUAGGGUGCAUUGGGGCACAAUGCAGCUUACUGGGUUAACUGGAAAAUAUAUUUAUUAAACAAUACACACC